Molecule: transfer RNA, 87 nt
Filed under: Clostridia bacterium
Lineage: Bacteria; Bacillati; Bacillota; Clostridia
Description: tRNA-Leu
Rfam family: tRNA
About the family: Transfer RNA (tRNA) molecules are approximately 80 nucleotides in length.
Source: RNAcentral
GCGGAUGUGGCGAAAUAGGCAAACGCGCUAGAUUCAGGUUCUAGUGGUAGCAAUACCUUGUGGGUUCAAGUCCCUUCAUCCGCACCA